This 253-nucleotide ribosomal RNA is filed under the name uncultured bacterium. RNAcentral describes it as "partial 16S ribosomal RNA". It matches the Rfam family "Bacterial small subunit ribosomal RNA", at positions 524 to 776 of the family's 1533-position model. The record is from RNAcentral.
GACGGAGGGGGCUAGCGUUGUUCGGAAUGACUGGGCGUAAAGGGCGCGUAGGCGGCUUUUUAAGUGAGGCGUGAAAGCCCUGGGCUUAACCCAGGAGGUGCGUUUCAUACUGAAAAGCUUGAGUACGAGAGAGGAAAGUGGAAUUCCUAGUGUAGAGGUGAAAUUCGUAGAUAUUAGGAAGAACACCUGCGGUGUAGACGGCUUACUGGACCGUAACUGACGCUGAGGCACGAAAGCGUGGGUAGCAAACAGG